This 481-nucleotide ribosomal RNA is filed under the name uncultured soil bacterium. RNAcentral describes it as "bacterial SSU rRNA". It matches the Rfam family "Bacterial small subunit ribosomal RNA", at positions 26 to 520 of the family's 1533-position model. The record is from RNAcentral.
AGGACGAACGCUGGCGGCGUGCUUAACACAUGCAAGUCGAACGGUAAGGCCCCUUCGGGGGUACACGAGUGGCGAACGGGUGAGUAACACGUGGGUAAUCUGCCCUGCACUUCGGGAUAAGCCUGGGAAACUGGGUCUAAUACCGGAUAUGAACUCCUGCCGCAUGGUGGGGGUUGGAAAGUUUUUCGGUGCAGGAUGAGCCCGCGGCCUAUCAGCUUGUUGGUGGGUAAUGGCCUACCAAGGCGACGACGGUAGCCGGCCUGAGAGGGUGAUCGGCCACACUGGGACUGAGACGCGGCCCAGACUCCUACGGGAGGCAGCAGUGGGGAAUAUUGCAACAAUGGGACGAAAGCCUGAUGCAGCGACGCCGCGGUGGGGGAUGACGGUCUUCGGAUUGUAAACCCUUCAGUAGGGACGAAGCGCAAGUGACGGUACCUACGAGAAGAAGACACCGGACUAACGUACGUGCCAGCAGCCGCGU